GCCUACCAAGGCUACGAUCAGUAGGGGUUCUGAGAGGAUUAACCCCCACACUGGUACUGAGACACGGACCAGACUCCUACGGGAGGCAGCAGUGAGGAAUAUUGGUCAAUGGGCGGAAGCCUGAACCAGCCAUCCCGCGUGAAGGAAGACAGCCUUACGGGUUGUAAACUUCUUUUCUGUCAGAAGAAUAAGCUUGUCGAGACGAGUGAUGCCGGUAUGACAGGAAUAAGCAUCGGCUAACUCCGUGCCAGCAGCCGCGGUAAUACGGAGGAUGCAAGCGUUAUCCGGAUUUAUUGGGUUUAAAGGGUGCGCAGGUUGUUUGAUAAGUCAGUGGUGAAAGUCUGUCGCUUAACGGUAGGAUUGCCAUUGAUACUGUUGGACUUGAAUACGGAUGAGGUAGGCGGAAUGUGUAGUGUAGCGGUGAAAUGCAUAGAUAUUACACAGAACACCGAUUGCGAAGGCAGCUUACUAAUCCAUCAUUGACGCUGAGGCACGAAAGCGUGGGGAUCAAACAGGAUUAGAUACCCUGGUAGUCCACGCCGUAAACGAUGAUCACUCGCUGUUUGCGAUAUACAGUAAGCGGCUAAGCGAAAGC
This 595-nucleotide ribosomal RNA is filed under the name uncultured bacterium. RNAcentral describes it as "bacterial SSU rRNA". It matches the Rfam family "Bacterial small subunit ribosomal RNA", at positions 263 to 858 of the family's 1533-position model. The record is from RNAcentral.